GAGAUUUUCUUUUUUCAAUUUCUUCUCUUUUUGACAUACUGCAUGGCAAAAGAUGAUUUUCAUAUUGCCUUCCCUUCUAAUGUAAUAUCUAGAGGGAAAAGGCCUGAGUACUCAGACUUACAUACAAGACGUUGAACUUUCAUUUGAAAGUUUAGGCAUCUUGAAUAACUUGUAGGAGUAGAUUUUUUUUUUAUUUAAUUUUAAGCAGGAUUGAAAAUUGUGGAUAUUUUCUUUUUUAUUAAAUUUGAAAUGGAAUUAUGUCUUCUCUUAUUAUGUAUGUGAUUGUUGGAUUUAAAGAACUCCACUAAAGAAAAAGGGGAGGGGGCAGAAAUGAAUGAUUUUGUUUUCAUCCAUCUCGCGUUGCCUUUUACAAUUAGUCAUCUAGUCUACUGCUUGUAAGCUUGUUUGAACUAUGGAGCUCCAAUUUUUAACAUCAUCUAAAUUAAAAUCCCCUUCACAAACCAUUUGACAUAGAAAUAUUUUACAUGACAUAAAAAAGCAACAUAGAUUUUAUAUUGUUCAAACUAAUCUGAAAAUACUGUUGACUCUAAAAAUUUCUUGUUUAUCUAAUUUGGUGUUUUUGAUAUUGGACUUCUUAUAGAUUGCAAAGGCAUUGCAUUUUA
This 623-nucleotide unclassified non-coding RNA is filed under the name Hevea brasiliensis (rubber tree). Lineage: Eukaryota; Viridiplantae; Streptophyta; Magnoliopsida; Malpighiales; Euphorbiaceae. The record is from RNAcentral.